CCUACGGGAGGCAGCAGUGAGGAAUUUUCUGCAAUGGGCGAAAGCCUGACAGAGCAAUACCGCGUGAGGGAUGAAGACUUACUGAGUUGUAAACCUCGGUGCCUUAAGGAAGAAGAUCUGACGGUACUUAAGGUGGAAAGCAUCGGCUAACUCCGUGCCAGCAGCCGCGGUAAGACGGGGGAUGCAAGUGUUAUCCGGAAUUACUGGGCGUAAAGCGUCUGCAGGUGGUUUUAUAAGUCUGCUGUUAAAUCUUGAGGCUCAACCUCAAAUCUGCAGUGGAAACUAUAAGACUUGAGUAUAGUAGGGGUAGAGGGAAUUUCCAGUGGAGCGGUGAAAUGCGUAGAUAUUGGAAAGAACACCGAUGGCGAAGGCACUCUACUGGGCUAUUACUGACACUCAGAGACGAAAGCUAGGGGAGCAAAUGGGAUUAGAUACCCCAGUAGUCCUAGCCGUAAACGAUGGAUACUCGAUGUUGGACGUAUCGACCCGUUCAGUAUCUUAGCUAACGCGUUAAGUAUCCCGCCUGGGGAGUACGCNCGCAGAGUAGAACGUAAUAGAGUAGACGCGNGAGACGUAGCCGACGGACGACGACGAGGGAGGUAGG
RNAcentral lists this ribosomal RNA (604 nucleotides) under uncultured bacterium. Its description in RNAcentral is "bacterial SSU rRNA". It matches the Rfam family "Bacterial small subunit ribosomal RNA", at positions 338 to 961 of the family's 1533-position model. The record is from RNAcentral.